RNAcentral lists this unclassified non-coding RNA (415 nucleotides) under uncultured Inocybe. Its description in RNAcentral is "sequence contains ITS2". The stretch from base 1 to 154 matches the Rfam family "5.8S ribosomal RNA". Lineage: Eukaryota; Fungi; Basidiomycota; Agaricomycetes; Agaricales; Cortinariaceae. The record is from RNAcentral.
AACUUUUAACAACGGAUCUCUUGGCUCUCGCAUCGAUGAAGAACGCAGCGAAAUGCGAUAAGUAAUGUGAAUUUCAGAAUUCAGUGAAUCAUCGAAUCUUUGAAUGCAUCUUGCGCUCCUUGGUAUUCCGAGGAGCAUGCCUGUUUGAGUGUCAUUUACCUUAUCAACCGCUUCAGAUUUUUUAUUUUGAAUGUGUCUAGGACUUGGGGGGUUCUUUGCUGGCUUUUAGAAAAAGGUCAGCUCCCCUGAAACGCAUUAGUGGCAUCUGAGCUGAUACUGUAGGUGUGCUAAAUAUCUAUGCCUUUGGUAAGCAUGCAUGAACACAUUGCGCUGCUCAAAACCCAACUUUGACAAACUUGACCUCAAAUCAGGUAGUACUACCUGCUGAACUUACAUAUAUCAAUAAGCGGAGGCU